Molecule: ribosomal RNA, 960 nt
Filed under: Campylobacter jejuni
Lineage: Bacteria; Pseudomonadati; Campylobacterota; Epsilonproteobacteria; Campylobacterales; Campylobacteraceae
Description: bacterial SSU rRNA
Rfam family: Bacterial small subunit ribosomal RNA
Source: RNAcentral
UAGGGAAGAAUUCUGACGGUACCUAAGGAAUAAGCACCGGCUAAUUCCGUGCCAGCAGCCGCGGUAAUACGGAGGGUGCCAGCGUUACUUGGAAUCACUGGGCGUAAAGGCGCGUAGGCGGAUUAUCAAGUCUCUUGUGAAAUCUAAUGGCUUAACCAUUAAACUGCUUGGGAAACUGAUUGUCUAGAGUGAGGGAGAGGCAGAUGGAAUUGGUGGUGUAGGGGUAAAAUCCGUAGAUAUCACCAAGAAUACCCAUUGCGAAGGCGAUCUGCUGGAACUCAACUGACGCUAAGGCGCGAAAGCGUGGGGAGCAAACAGGAUUAGAUACCCUGGUAGUCCACGCCCUAAACGAUGUACACUAGUUGUUGGGGUGCUAGUCAUCUCAGUAAUGCAGCUAACGCAUUAAGUGUACCGCCUGGGGAGUACGGUCGCAAGAUUAAAACUCAAAGGAAUAGACGGGGACCCGCACAAGCGGUGGAGCAUGUGGUUUAAUUCGAAGAUACGCGAAGAACCUUACCUGGGCUUGAUAUCCUAAGAACCUUUUAGAGAUAAGAGGGUGCUAGCUUGCUAGAACUUAGAGACAGGUGCUGCACGGCUGUCGUCAGCUCGUGUCGUGAGAUGUUGGGUUAAGUCCCGCAACGAGCGCAACCCACGUAUUUAGUUGCUAACGGUUCGGCCGAGCACUCUAAAUAGACUGCCUUCGUAAGGAGGAGGAAGGUGUGGACGACGUCAAGUCAUCAUGGCCCUUAUGCCCAGGGCGACACACGUGCUACAAUGGCAUAUACAAUGAGACGCAAUACCGCGAGGUGGAGCAAAUCUAUAAAAUAUGUCCCAGUUCGGAUUGUUCUCUGCAACUCGAGAGCAUGAAGCCGGAAUCGCUAGUAAUCGUAGAUCAGCCAUGCUACGGUGAAUACGUUCCCGGGUCUUGUACUCACCGCCCGUCACACCAUGGGAGUUGAU